GACAACUCCUGGAGAUAUUAACUCAGCUCCCCCCUCAUUGGUCAAGCACUCCACCUCUCUCUCUUCCUUAUCUCUGUUAGCCAAUCUCCCUCUCAGAUAUGCUCUCUCCUCUCCCAGCAGAGGGCUUCAUGCGGGGACAAGCAAGACAGUCAUGGCAGCGGUGCUCGUCCAGGAACAGAGUCACCCCAAAUUCAAGAUGUGUCAGGUACAAAAAUACAAUGGGAUGGAGCUACCAGAAAGUGUCAUCUUGCUUUAGUUCAACUUCAAGAUGAACCCUUAGGCUGGCCGUCAGGAAAUACCGUCAGGAAUGCAUUUCUGUCGGCCAACCGACAGGAAAGGACCGUCUUUCCACACGAUGGACUCCUGUCGGCAAAAUCCUGACGGUUUUCGGUAUUUCCUGACGGUUUUUGGCCGUCAGGAAUCUGCUGAUUUCUGGUAGUAGUUAAAUGCCUCCACGAGUCCUCCACUAUUUCAGGACCUGACCCCCCGGAUCACCUCAAGAUCAUCAUCCUCCUCCUCCUGUGCAGGAGUUGCAGGCCCAUGCUAGUGGUGCAAGGCAAGGUCCUCCUCAGCCUCCUGCAACUUCCCCUCAAGAAACUCAAGUGUAGCUGUCUGAUUAUUCAAUUGCUGCUUAAGAUCCUCCUUCUCCUCUACCAACUGCUGCUCCUGGAGAUUAGCUUGUUUGAGCUUGUGCCCAAAGAAGGCAUUUUCAGCCAUAACAUGUUCAAGCAACUGAAGCAUAGAGGUAGAGUACCGAAUGGGUGUUGCCAACGUUGGUUCAUAGCUAGCAAUGCAAUGCAU
Panicum hallii is the source of this 801-nucleotide long non-coding RNA. RefSeq lists it as uncharacterized. The transcript is spliced from 3 exons. NCBI's taxonomy places the organism in Eukaryota, Viridiplantae, Streptophyta, Magnoliopsida, Poales, Poaceae. The record is from RefSeq and is a predicted model, not a curated record.